Molecule: long non-coding RNA, 199 nt
Organism: Paramormyrops kingsleyae
Lineage: Eukaryota; Metazoa; Chordata; Actinopteri; Osteoglossiformes; Mormyridae
Source: RefSeq, a predicted model, not a curated record
GCUCAUAAAUGCCAGGCAGCCUCCAUCCCUGAGAAAUCUGCAGGGAUCGCUGUAGACACACUCUGCUAGCAGGCUCUUUCACAUCUGAACAUGUCCAAUCAAAAACAAGGUAUCCCACCAGGUGGUGCUCCCUGUGGCCCUCCUGGCACAUGCCCAACUGGUAGUGGCCCCAGUGUCCCUCCUCCUAAAGGGAAACCUG